Molecule: ribosomal RNA, 116 nt
Organism: Arcobacter sp.
Lineage: Bacteria; Pseudomonadati; Campylobacterota; Epsilonproteobacteria; Campylobacterales; Arcobacteraceae
Source: Rfam
GCUGGUGGUUAUAGAGAAGAGGAAAUACCCAGCUCCAUUUCGAACCUGGAAGUCAAGCUCUUCAUCGCUGAUAAUACUGCAGGGUCCCCUUGUGGAAACGUAGGCCACUGCCAGCU